Molecule: microRNA, 23 nt
Filed under: Homo sapiens (human)
Lineage: Eukaryota; Metazoa; Chordata; Mammalia; Primates; Hominidae
Description: hsa-miR-6511b-3p
Source: miRBase by way of RNAcentral
CCUCACCACCCCUUCUGCCUGCA